Molecule: unclassified non-coding RNA, 585 nt
Filed under: Megachile rotundata (alfalfa leafcutting bee)
Lineage: Eukaryota; Metazoa; Arthropoda; Insecta; Hymenoptera; Megachilidae
Description: uncharacterized LOC100878955, transcript variant X1
Source: RNAcentral
GUACCGGUCUUACGUUGCCUCAUGCUGCCCGCAAUUCUGUACACAAAGUAACAUCUCUGUUAGAACAGUUGCCUUCUUUCAGGCGUCAUACGUUUCUUUGGGAGGAGGAAAAAUACAUAAGACAGAAAUGAUGAUAAAAGGAGGAUAAAAUAGAUGUGGCAGAGGUCCCCGGGUUGUCAUCGUGUGGAAUAUUUCUAAAUUGGCGGUCAGUCGAUUGUCACCUAAAUACCUAAAUGGAAUAAUUGGAGCUGGAUUGGCCUUAGUGGCUAUUUUUAGUUAGCAUCGAGGGGUAGCCCCUAUCUUGCUACCUAAAAAUAAUCUGAUAGCAAAUGGACCCUUGGAGGUUUUCAACUUUGACUGAGCCGGAAUAACAUGCAAAUUGGAAAAUGAGGGUCUCCGUCUUGUAGAAGGAAAAAACAGAAUGAUUAGAACGACGAAAAACAGAACGACGAAAAACAGAACGAUCAUUAGCCGUUUCGUGACCACCAAUGUGGAGCAAAUAACGCAUUAUUUCAUUGGCAGUUUGAAGGCACCGCGAAUCAUAGAGAUCGGCAUGGGGAAGACUAAUUUAUAUCAUACGACGCG